CGGGUAUUUAUUUUACUUNGAACNCCGNGNNGGGACAACNUUUANCACGAAAAGUNAAAAGUUUUUUNGGNUUCCUGGGGGGGGGAGUAANGGUCNCAAAGGCUGAAACUUAAAAGAAAUUGACGAAGGGCACCACAAGGNGUGGANCNNGCGGCUUAAUUUGACUCAACACGGGGAAACUCACCAGGUCCAGACACAANUAGGAUUGACAGAUUGAGAGCUCUUUCCUUGAUUUUGUGGGUGGUGGUGCAUGGCCGUUUCUUAGUUGGUGGAGUGAUUUGUCUGNUUAAUUGCGAUAACGAACGAGACCUUAACCUGCUAAAUAGCCCGUGCCGCCUAGGCGGCACGCCGGCUUCUUAGAGGGACUAUCGGCUCAAGCCGAUGGAAGUUUGAGGCAAUAACAGGUCUGUGAUGCCCUUAGAUGUUAUGGGCCGCACGCGCGCUACACUGACAGAGCCAGCGAGUUCCUCCUAGGCCGGAAGGUCCGGGUAAUCUUGUGAAACUCUGUCGUGCUGGGGAUAGAGCAUUGCGGUUAUUGCUCUUCAACGAGGAAUCCCUAGUAAGCGCAAGUCAUCAGCUUGAAUUGAUUACGUCCCUGCCCUUUGUACACACCGCCCGUCGCUACUACCGAUUGAAUNCUUUGGGAAAAAAUUCGGNCUGGCCCCUUUGGGAAAGGCACCUUUG
This 684-nucleotide ribosomal RNA is filed under the name Phomopsis sp. ASR-252. RNAcentral describes it as "partial 18S ribosomal RNA". The stretch from base 81 to 684 matches the Rfam family "Eukaryotic small subunit ribosomal RNA", at positions 1117 to 1741 of the family's 1831-position model. The record is from RNAcentral. Lineage: Eukaryota; Fungi; Ascomycota; Sordariomycetes; Diaporthales; Diaporthaceae.